AAUGCGCCGUGCCUCAGUUUCCCCAUGGGGCUCCUUUGGGCAUGGGGUCUGCGCCCCGUGGGGGUCCCCAAGGUGCCGGCUGCGGGGAGGAGGAGGAGGAGGAGCAGGAGGAAGCCGGCGUGGAUGCAGGACACGAGGAUGGGGGGGACGUUUAUUUCGGGGGGCCAGCUCGGGGGACGGGGGGGGGGGCGCCGCGGGGGGGGGGGUCCAGCAGCAGAGCCCGGUCCGGGGGCACUGCCCCAGCGCCCCUCCAGCACCGCGGGACUGGGAGCACUGGGGCCGGGCAGCAGCCCCAGCUCCCAGGUGCUCGAAGCCACCGGAAUGGGGGGGUCCCACCCCAAUGGGGGGGCCCCCCCUCCGAAGCCCCCCUUCCGGAGAGGCCCCUUUUUGGGGCCCCCCCCCCAAGGGGGGGGCUCAGGAGCAGCUGCUUCUCCGCCGGCGCAGCAGCGUGGCGGGGUGGCUGCCCUCGUCCUCCUGCUCGCUCUCGCAGCCGCGCUGGGGGGGCACAGAGGGGCUGGAGGGCACAGGGAGGACCCCCGGGCACCCCAUGCAGGGGGCACCCCAUUGCACGACCCCCCCCCCAAAUACCCAUUGCCCCCCUCCCCAGCCUCUCACCAGCUCCUCAUCCUCCGUGCGCGGGCCGCAGAGCAGCCGCAUGCGGCACAGCCGGUUGCAGGCGGACACCAUGUUGUAGGAGAGCUGGGGAGGGGGGGGCAGCAAGGUGGGGGUCCGGGGGGGGGCUCAUCCCCUCCUCUCCCACCCCCAGACAGCAGCGUUACGGUGCCGACCCCAACACAGCCCCCUCCCCAAAUGCGCCCACCCAGGAGCGGAGCGCGGCGCCCUGAGCACCCUGGGGUGGUGGCACCAAGCACCGCGGUGUGUCCCCCCGCCCCGGCACCACGGUGCCCCCCCCCCACGGCACCACGGUGUCCCCCCGUGUCCCCCCCCCUUUUUCCUUUCACCUUCCACUUCCUCCGGGCGUUGAACUUGCGGAAGUUUUUCAUGUUGAUGGAGGAGCGGCUCCGCUUCGCCGCCUGCUUCCUGCUCAGGGGCUGCGGGGGGCGAAGCCGGGCAUCGUCCCCACGCCCCCUCCCCUGGUACACGGUGCCCGGGGAUGGGGGGGGGACCCGGGGGGGACCCAGCCCCAGCCCUGCUCCCCCCCCAGCUCCCUCUCACCUUGAUCCAGGGGUGGACGAGGCACUCGGACGCCGUCAUGCGCUCCCUGAAACACGAGGGGAUGGGGCGCUGGGGACGGGGGGCACCCUGGGGACGGGGACGGGGACAGGAACGGGGUCGGGGACAGGGACGGGGAC
Molecule: long non-coding RNA, 1313 nt
Filed under: Anas platyrhynchos platyrhynchos (common mallard)
Lineage: Eukaryota; Metazoa; Chordata; Aves; Anseriformes; Anatidae
Description: lncRNA (ENSAPLG00000025931.1)
Source: RNAcentral